This 67-nucleotide transfer RNA is filed under the name Marmota monax (woodchuck). Its description in RNAcentral is "tRNA.Ala". The record is from RNAcentral. Lineage: Eukaryota; Metazoa; Chordata; Mammalia; Rodentia; Sciuridae.
GGUUGUAGCUCAGUGGCAGAGUGCUAGCCUAGCAUGCGCGAGGCACUGGGUUCGCUCCUCAGCACCA